AGUAAAACGGAAAUAAUCUGUUUGAAUUUAGGGAAACCUUUCUCUAAGGCUAAAUAUGAUAUAUAAGCGAUAGCGAAGCAGUACCGUGAGGGAAAUUUUUGAAAUAGUAGUUUUAUAAGCAGCUCAAGUUUAAUUUAAAAGUAUAAUGAGAGCGUACCUUUUGCAUAAUGGGUCAGCAAGUUAAUGUUAGAUGCGAGAGUAUACUCCUAGAUAAACCAAUUAUUAAUUAAUGAUUAAGUAUCUAAUGUUAGACCCGAAGCCUAGUGAUCUUACCAUGAUCAGGGUUAUAAAGGCCCGAACGGGUUAUCGUUGUAAAGAUAUCCGAUGAAUUGUGGUAAGUUAGUGAAAGACAAAACUGACUAGGAUAGCUGGUUUUCUGCGAAACCUAUAUAAGUAGG
RNAcentral lists this ribosomal RNA (398 nucleotides) under Chloropicon mariensis. RNAcentral describes it as "partial Bacterial large subunit ribosomal RNA". It matches the Rfam family "Bacterial large subunit ribosomal RNA", at positions 411 to 878 of the family's 2925-position model. The record is from RNAcentral. Lineage: Eukaryota; Viridiplantae; Chlorophyta; Chloropicophyceae; Chloropicales; Chloropicaceae.